RNAcentral lists this long non-coding RNA (590 nucleotides) under Androctonus crassicauda. The record is from RNAcentral. Lineage: Eukaryota; Metazoa; Arthropoda; Arachnida; Scorpiones; Buthidae.
AGAGAUUUUUGGAUAGGACUAAAAUCUCUCUAAAAGAGACUAAAAUCAAAUUGUUGUAUUGAAUAUACAUUAUGGUUGUGAGAUCCAGUAUUGCCUAUGCCACCAUCAUUUAUUUGGUGGCAGAAAAUUUUAUUAAAAACAUGCAAGACUGAGCUUUGGAAAAUUCAAUGGAUGAUCUAUUUAAGCUUCACAGAAGCUUCAAUGAUAGCUCCUACUGCUACUCUUGAAAUUCUUUUUGGCAUUCCUCUCUUGCAUUUAUAUGAUGAAGCUAGUCCCAGGAGAGUUAGUAUAGGCUUCAUUGUUGUUAAGAACUUCUUGAAAUGGAGCAUUUGUUUUUUGAAUGGAAUGAGUCAUUUAUAAUCACAUUCUCGAGAUGGAUAAGGAUCACAUGAUGGCCAGAUUCAGCUUCCCCAGAACCUUCACAGUUGUUUUUCCCAGCAUGGAGGAGUAGAUUUGAGCUGGUCUGCAUACAGAUUGUUCUAAAACCUCGAUUAGUAUAGGGCAGCAUAUACUGUGAGGGAAUGAGGCUAUCUUAUUACCUUGUUACUGUCUUUCAGGCAGAAUCUAUGGUCUAUAUUUUUUAAAAUAAG